GACGAACGCUGGCGGCGUGCUUAACACACGCAAGUCGAACGAUGAUCCCGGAGCUUGCUCCGGCGGAUUAGUGGCGAACGGGUGAGUAACACGUGAGUAACCUGCCCUUGACUCUGGGAUAACUGCUAGAAAUGGUAGCUAAUACCGGAUACGACCCUCGGUGGCAUCACCAGGGGGUGGAAAGAAUUUCGGUCAAGGAUGGACUCGCGGCCUAUCAGCUAGUUGGUGAGGUAACGGCUCACCAAGGCGACGACGGGUAGCCGGCCUGAGAGGGUGACCGGCCACACUGGGACUGAGACACGGCCCAGACUCCUACGGGAGGCAGCAGUGGGGAAUAUUGCACGAUGGGCGCAAGCCUGAUGCAGCAACGCCGCGUGAGGGAUGACGGCCUUCGGGUUGUAAACCUCUUUUAGUAGGGAAGAAGCGAAAGUGACGGUACCUGCAGAAAAAGCACCGGCUAACUACGUGCCAGCCGCCGCCGUAA
RNAcentral lists this ribosomal RNA (484 nucleotides) under uncultured bacterium. RNAcentral's name for it is "partial 16S ribosomal RNA". It matches the Rfam family "Bacterial small subunit ribosomal RNA", at positions 28 to 523 of the family's 1533-position model. The record is from RNAcentral.